Molecule: ribosomal RNA, 442 nt
Filed under: uncultured bacterium
Lineage: Bacteria
Description: bacterial SSU rRNA
Rfam family: Bacterial small subunit ribosomal RNA
Source: RNAcentral
AAUAUUGCACGAAUGGGGGAAACCCUGAUGCAGCCAUGCCGCGUGUGUGAAGAAGGCCUUCGGGUUGUAAAGCACUUUCAGUAGGGAGGAAGGUAGUGUAGUUAACACCUGCAUUAUUUGACGUUACCUACAGAAGAAGCACCGGCUAACUCCGUGCCAGCAGCCGCGGUAAUACGGAGGGUGCGAGCGUCAAUCGGAAUUACUGGGCGUAAAGCGCAUGCAGGCGGCCUGUUAAGUCAGAUGUGAAAGCCCCGGGGCUUAACCUCGGAAUUGCAUUUGAAACUGGCAGGCUAGAGUCUUGUAGAGGGGGUAGAAUUUCAGGUGUAGCGGUGAAAUGCGUAGAGAUCUGAAGGAAUACCAGUGGCGAAGGCGGCCCCCUGGACAAAGACUGACGCUCAGAUGCGAAAGCGUGGGGAGCAAACAGGAUUAGAUACCCUGGUAG